RNAcentral lists this ribosomal RNA (245 nucleotides) under uncultured bacterium. Its description in RNAcentral is "partial 16S ribosomal RNA". It matches the Rfam family "Bacterial small subunit ribosomal RNA", at positions 524 to 768 of the family's 1533-position model. The record is from RNAcentral.
UACAGAGACCUCAAGCAUUAUCCGGAUUUACUGGGCGUAAAGCGUCCGCAGGUGGUUCGUUAAGUCAUUUGUCAAAUCCCGGUGCUCAACAUCGGGGCCGCGGAUGAUACUGACGAACUUGAGGCUGGGAGAGGGAAGAGGAACUGCCGGUGUAGUAGUAAAAUGCGUUAAUAUCGGCAGGAACACCAAAGGCGAAGGCAUCUUCCUGGAACAGUCCUGACACUCAGGGACGAAAGCGUGGGGAG